This 112-nucleotide ribosomal RNA is filed under the name Caerostris darwini. The record is from RNAcentral. Lineage: Eukaryota; Metazoa; Arthropoda; Arachnida; Araneae; Araneidae.
AACGGCCGUACCGUGCUGAAUAUACCGGUUCUCGUUAGAUCACCGAAGUCAAGCAUCAUUGGGCGCGGUCAGUACUUGGGUGGGUGACCACCUGGGAACACUGCGUGCCGUU